RNAcentral lists this long non-coding RNA (1271 nucleotides) under Mustela putorius furo (domestic ferret). Its description in RNAcentral is "lncRNA (ENSMPUG00000024751.1)". Lineage: Eukaryota; Metazoa; Chordata; Mammalia; Carnivora; Mustelidae. The record is from RNAcentral.
CCCCCCUCCGCCCCCGCUCCCCUCCGCCCCCCUAGCCCGCGGAGCACGCUGGGAUUUGGCGCCCCCCUCCUCUGUUCAGCCUAUAUAAGGCUCCCAGUCGGCGCUCCUGGUACACGCGCUUCAACUUCGGUUGGUGUGUGUCGAAGAAACCUGACUGCGACCUGGGGAGAACAGCGAAGAGGGUCCACCAAGCCUCGAGAAAGGUCCGCUGAGCGGGCUCGCGUCUGGAGCCACUCCGGGCUGCAGAGCACCCAGCGGAACCCACGCCUGGCGCAGGUGUGGGACCCCGUCCUCCUGUCUUCGCAGAGGAGUCCUCGCGUGUUUGCAGGUACCUCUUGGGCUCCUGAAUUGAUCUGCCUGUCAUCCACCACAGACGUCGAACGUCAGCUACAGUUCCAAGGUUGGCAACAGAGAACACUCUGCUGGAAAGACCUAAGCAGAAAUGAAGGACCACCUGCCGAGACUAAGAGCUGGGUGGGAACCACACUGCAUUUUCAUCGAAAGAGUGAACAUCUAGUGGGACUGAAAGUUCUUUGUUGUUUCAGAUUGUAGAAUGUGAUUGAUGGAAUUGGUCUGUGGAAAUUGCAUUGUUUUUAUUUCUUUAUGUAAUCUGUUUAAGUAAUAGGGGGUAUAUAUAAUCGUAAGUAUUUUAGGGUGGGAGGGACUAUUAAGUAAUUAAGUGGGUGGGGUUAGUUUAAAAGCAUGAUAUGUAUUAGAUAACUCUAUAAGUGGACAUGUGUACUUACUUGUGAUCCUUUACCCUAUGAUUGCUACCCUUAAAGAUUUCAAAUAAACUCAGAGGGAACUGCAGGGAGAUCAGACUAUUUAGGGCAAAUUGGACAUGAAUAAAACUCUAGUGGGAAAAAGUUCAAAGGUGAUUAAAUAAAUAAUUUAACUUUGCCCUGGGUAUUAAGCCCAGGGCUCCAGAUUGUGAGCAGAGCCUUUGGAGAGUUACAGGAUGAGGAGAUAGAUGCUCUUUGACUUGCUGGAAUGAAAUUGAUAAUGAAGGAUGGUAAAUAUUCAUGGAAGUUACAGAAAAGUGAUGAAGAAGAACCCUGUCAGUGGUCCUCCUACCUCUCCCUGCCUUUUCUCCCUACCCCUACCACCUCCCUACCCAUUUUAUUGCUGUAUUUCUCUCUAUUUACUAAUAUUGUAUUGAUGUCAUAAUAAAAAUUCAAUUAAUAAAGAUUUAGUGGUUAAGUGCAAACUGUGUCCUUAUCAUUUCAGCGUCCUCCACCAACAUCAAAGGAACAGGGUGGGGGGAGGAAGGU